Molecule: ribosomal RNA, 514 nt
Filed under: uncultured Actinomycetes bacterium
Lineage: Bacteria; Bacillati; Actinomycetota; Actinomycetes
Description: bacterial SSU rRNA
Rfam family: Bacterial small subunit ribosomal RNA
Source: RNAcentral
UGGGGAAUCUUGCGCAAUGGGCGAAAGCCUGACGCAGCGACGCCGCGUGGGGGAAGAAGGCCUUCGGGUUGUAAACCUCUUUCAGCAGGGACGAAGCCACUCGGGUGAACAGCCCAGAGGGUGACGGUACCUGCAGAAGAAGCCCCGGCUAACUACGUGCCAGCAGCCGCGGUAAUACGUAGGGGGCAAGCGUUGUCCGGAUUUAUUGGGCGUAAAGAGCGUGUAGGCGGCCAGACAGGUCCGUUGUGAAAACUAGAGGCUCAACCUCUAGACGUCGAUGGAAACCGUUUGGCUAGAGUCCGGAAGAGGAGAAUGGAAUUCCUGGUGUAGCGGUGAAAUGCGCAGAUAUCAGGAAGAGCACCCGUGGCUAAGGCGGUUCUCUAGUACGGUACUGACGCUGAGACGCGAAAGCGUGGGGAGCGAACAGGAUUAGAUACCCUGGUAGUCCACGCCGUAAACGAUGGGUGCUAGGUGUGGGGGGUGUCGACUCCCUCCGUGCCGAAGCUAACGCAUU